Long non-coding RNA from Alligator sinensis (Chinese alligator), 233 nucleotides. RefSeq lists it as uncharacterized. The transcript has 3 exons. Lineage: Eukaryota; Metazoa; Chordata; Crocodylia; Alligatoridae. The record is from RefSeq and is a predicted model, not a curated record.
UUCAGUUCGGCAGCCUUGGGAGUAAUGUUGUUUGGUGGAGCUCCUUCUCCAGGAAUAUUUCAGAGCAUACAACAGUUAAUCACCUUCAAAAACUGCUGCUACCUCAGUGAAAGGAAAGAAAUGUCCUUCCUCUUUACUGUCACAUCUUUGACUUCAAAAAGAUCAGAUCAACAAUCUCUGUCCUUGCUCCAAAAAAAAGCUUCUACUUUCUUAAUCCCACCAUGACUGACAGU